UACGAAGGGGGCUAGCGUUGCUCAGAAUGACUGGGCGUAAAGGGCGCGUAGGCGGAUUGUACAGUCAGGCGUGAAAUUCCCGGGCUCAACCUGGGGGCUGCGUUUGAUACGUGCGGGCUUGAGUUCGGAAGAGGGUCGUGGAAUUCCCAGUGUAGAGGUGAAAUUCGUAGAUAUUGGGAAGAACACCGGUGGCGAAGGCGGCUACCUGGACCAGCACUGACACUGAAGCACGAAAGCGUGGGGAGCAAACAGG
This 253-nucleotide ribosomal RNA is filed under the name uncultured bacterium. RNAcentral's name for it is "partial 16S ribosomal RNA". It matches the Rfam family "Bacterial small subunit ribosomal RNA", at positions 524 to 776 of the family's 1533-position model. The record is from RNAcentral.